RNAcentral lists this non-coding RNA (947 nucleotides) under Labidesthes sicculus (brook silverside). RNAcentral describes it as "12S ribosomal RNA". It matches the Rfam family "Bacterial small subunit ribosomal RNA". The record is from RNAcentral. Lineage: Eukaryota; Metazoa; Chordata; Actinopteri; Atheriniformes; Atherinopsidae.
CAAAGGCUUGGUCCUGACUUUUCCAUCAGCUCUAGCCAAACUUACACAUGCAAGUAUCCGCACGCCCGUGAGAAUGCCCUACAGUCCCCCACCCGGGGACAAGGAGCGGGUAUCAGGCACACAGCGAUGUAGCCCAUGACGCCUUGCUUAGCCACACCCUCAAGGGAACUCAGCAGUGAUAGACAUUAAGCCAUAAGUGAAAACUUGACUUAGCUAAAGCUUAGAGGGCCGGUAAAACUCGUGCCAGCCACCGCGGUUAUACGAGAGGCCCAAGUUGAUAGCCACCGGCGUAAAGAGUGGUUAGGGAAUAAAAAGAAUAAAGUCGAACGCCCCCAGAGCCGUCAUACGCUUCCGGGAGUAAGAAGCCCUACCACGAAAGUGACUUUAAGCAACCUGACCCCACGAAAGCUGGGAAACAAACUGGGAUUAGAUACCCCACUAUGCCCAGCCGUAAACUUUGAUGAUAUAACACGCACGUCAUCCGCCCGGGUACUAUGAGCACCAGCUUAAAACCCAAAGGACUUGGCGGUGCUUUAGACCCACCUAGAGGAGCCUGUUCUAGAACCGAUAACCCCCGUUAAACCUCACCCUCCCUUGUUUUCCCCGCCUAUAUACCGCCGUCGUCAGCUUACCCUGUGAAGGUCUUAUAGUAAGCAAGAUCAGUACAACUCAAAACGCCAGGUCGAGGUGUAGCAGAUGAGAGGGGAAGAAAUGGGCUACAUUUCCUGACCUAGGAAACACGGACAAGGCCCUGAAACUGGACCUUAGAAGGAGGAUUUAGCAGUAAGCAGGGAAUAGAGAGCCUUGCUGAAACCGGCCCUGAAGCGCGCACACACCGCCCGUCACUCUCCCCAAGCCGCCAAUAACCACUAGAUAAGAUGCUAAACAGGCAAAGGGGAGGCAAGUCGUAACAUGGUAAGUGUACCGGAAGGUGCACUUGGAUAAAU